AUUGAACGCUGGCGGCAUGCUUUACACAUGCAAGUCGAGCGGCAGCGCGGGGGCAACCCUGGCGGCGAGCGGCGAACGGGUGAGUAAUGCAUCGGAACGUAUCCUCGAGUGGGGGAUAACCCAGCGAAAGUUGGGCUAAUACCGCAUGAGCUCUGAGGAGGAAAGCGGGGGACCUGCGAGGGCCUCGCGCUGGAGGAGCGGCCGAUGUCCGAUUAGCUAGUUGGUGGGGUAAAGGCUUACCAAGGCGACGAUCGGUAGCUGGUCUGAGAGGAUGAUCAGCCACACUGGGACUGAGACACGGCCCAGACUCCUACGGGAGGCAGCAGUGGGGAAUUUUGGACAGUGGGGGCAACCCUGAUCCAGCCAUGCCGCGUGAGUGAAGAAGGCCUUCGGGUUGUAAAGCUCUUUCGGACGGAACGAAAUGGGCGGGACUAAUACUCCUGUCUGAUGACGGUACCGUAAGAAGAAGCACCGGCUAACUACGUG
Molecule: ribosomal RNA, 486 nt
Filed under: uncultured bacterium
Lineage: Bacteria
Description: partial 16S ribosomal RNA
Rfam family: Bacterial small subunit ribosomal RNA
Source: RNAcentral